GGGAUCUGAUAGUUAUAUUUCUAACUGGCAACUUUCUUAGAGGAGAUGUACCAGAGUCAAUAUUGGUGAAAGGAAGUAAUGUGUGUGUCUCAUAUCUCUUGUAUCCUUUGAGUUCUUUAGCAUCUUUAUUACAUGGAUCUGAUAUUUGUUCACCUCAGUGAACACACUUAUCUGUUGUGUACUUGUAUUAGUUUAUAACCUAUGAUGACUUGAUUAAUUUACAGAAGGAAGUCUAUAUAUUUUUUUCUCAAUUGCUUCAUCAUUAUAAAUUAAAUUUCCACUUCUGUUUCUUACUUUCUUGCAGGGAUCUUUCCUACAAUAAUUUCACUCAGCCAACCUCUGAGCAUCGUGCUUGCCAGAGCAUGCAGGAAUUAAAUCUGAACUUGUUUCAAAGUUAUUCAGCGGCAAACAACUUGUAAGUUGCCUUUUUGGUUUAAGUGAGCCUUAGCAACCAAUGAAAAAGAAUUGCAGUUCCAAGGCUUCAUUUUUUGUAUAUUGUCCCUUCUAUGCUUUUUACUGAUUUGUCAAGAAAGCAAUCGUUCUUCCCUUGAAACAUAUUUUAGAAUUAUCAAAUAAUAUUUUUCAUUGUUUCAUCGUCUCAUAGAGUAAUAUAUUAUUGACCUUGAAGUGUUUUCUGUAUAA
Long non-coding RNA from Mangifera indica (mango), 642 nucleotides. RefSeq lists it as uncharacterized. The transcript is spliced from 3 exons. The record is from RefSeq and is a predicted model, not a curated record. Lineage: Eukaryota; Viridiplantae; Streptophyta; Magnoliopsida; Sapindales; Anacardiaceae.